This 475-nucleotide ribosomal RNA is filed under the name uncultured soil bacterium. Its description in RNAcentral is "bacterial SSU rRNA". It matches the Rfam family "Bacterial small subunit ribosomal RNA", at positions 26 to 518 of the family's 1533-position model. The record is from RNAcentral.
AGGACGAACGCUGGCGGCGUGCUUAACACAUGCAAGUCGAGCGGUAAGGCCUUUCGGGGUACACGAGCGGCGAACGGGUGAGUAACACGUGGGUGAUCUGCCCUGCACUCUGGGAUAAGCCUGGGAAACUGGGUCUAAUACCGGAUAUGACCUGCUCUCGCAUGGGGGUGGGUGGAAAGAUUUAUCGGUGCAGGAUGGGCCCGCGGCCUAUCAGCUUGUUGGUGGGGUAAUGGCCUACCAAGGCGACGACGGGUAGCCGACCUGAGAGGGUGACCGGCCACACUGGGACUGAGACACGGCCCAGACUCCUACGGGAGGCAGCAGUGGGGGAAUAUUGCACAAUGGGCGAAAGCCUGAUGCAGCGACGCCGCGUGAGGAUGAAGGCCUUCGGGUUGUAAACCUCUUUCAGCAGGACGAAGCGCAAGUGACGGUACCUGCAGAAGAAGCACCGGACUAACUACGUGCCAGCAGCCGC